This is a non-coding RNA of Picea glauca (white spruce), 551 nucleotides long. The record is from Rfam. NCBI's taxonomy places the organism in Eukaryota, Viridiplantae, Streptophyta, Pinopsida, Pinales, Pinaceae.
CUCAUGGAGAGUUUGAACCUGGCUCAGGAUGAAAACUGGCGGCAUGCUUAACACAUGCAAGUCGGAUGGGAAGUGGUGUUUCCUGUGGCGGAUGGGUGAGUAACGCGUAAGAACCUGCCCUUGGGAGGGGAACAACAGCUGGAAAUGGCUGCUAAUACCCCAUAGGCUGAGGAGAAAAAGGAGGAAUCUGCCCAAGGAGGGGAUCGCGUCUGAUUAGUUAGUUGGUGAGGCAAUGGAUUACCAAGGCGACAAUUAGUAGCUAGUCCAAGAGGAUGAUCAGCCACACUGGGACUGAGACACAACCCAGACUCCUAUGGGAGGCAGCAGUGGGGAAUUUUCUGCAAUGGGCAAAAGCCUGACGGAGAAAUGCCGCGUGAAGGUAGGGGCAGAGGGAAUUUCUGGUGGAGCGAUGAAAUGCGUUGAGAUCGGAAAGAACACCAACAGUGAAAUCACUCUGCUGGGUCGACACUGACACUGAGAGACGAAAGCUAGGGGAGCAAAUGGGAUUAGAUACCCCAGUAGUCCUACCCGCAAAUGAUGGAUACUAAGUG